CAAGGGUCUUGGUUCAUAUGCAUGUACAUACUUGCAAGGUGGGCUCUUUAGAACUGCAAUUUCCUAGAGAAGGGUCUCCUCAAAUCUAGUGUGUGUAUGAACUUUAAAUGAAAAGAUGGAACACCGCGUUCUUAACUUGGCAAUUGGCCAUUGUACAUGAUGGUGACUCUCGAAGAGAAUGUUGAUUAUGUGAUGUGGUGAAAUAUAUGUUGCACAAAUAGGGAAGUCAAACUCACUAAAUCAUGCCUGGUCUUGGCAUAAUUUUAUAGUUACCAAAGCCAGUUAGGAUGUACUUAGGGGAAAAAAAAAAGUUUCUUCCUCUCAAAACUGAGAUGUUCAAAUGCAUCAGUCAUGAGUCUGCAUCUUGGAGUCAGGCCCAGGAGAGGUGGUCAAUGAAUGAUGAAAUUUAGUUAUCCAUCAAUGGAGCAGAGCAACCUUUAAAUGAAUUUCUGUAGACAUAUGAAAGAAGUUUGUUGCGUGUCCAGUACUCCUAAUAAUAAUUUCACCACAGGUUUUAUUUAUUUUUACUAAUGUAGCCUUAUUUAAUUUUAAUCCUCUGUAGUACUGUUGCCUUUUGUAAUCUCCAUAACAAACAGUACUUAAUUAUGCAUCUCCUUUAUCAAUUUUAUAUUGCAUACAUCUGGAGGUUAUGUGCUAGAACAUUAACUUCAUUUUUGAAAGAACUUUAAAUAAUUUAAAUAAAAGUGAUUUUCAUAUAUCCUAAUACAAUUUCAUAAAUAACUAUAUAAAGAAACUUGGAUGGCCUAGCAGAUUUUUACUGAAGUAUGGGGGUUUAUGCUUUUAGGUCCCAAGUUCAAAACCUACCUCAUAAGUUAAGAAAAAGAAAUAACUGUAGCAAUGAAAUUUCAUGGUGUGACUCAAUAGUUUUGUUAGCAUGGGUCUUCUAAAAGAAUGAAACAAAGGAGGAAGAAGUGCAAACCUUCAAAUCUGAGAAGAAAUUUCCCCAAAUCAAUCCCAGGUCACCAAGAAGAAGGAAAGAAAAAAGGUGAGGGAGAAAUUCACAUCAACUUCCCUAUAGAAAUGCUCAUAUAUAAAUAUACUUGUACACAAUUGCUCUUUUGGAUAAUAGAGAUGUGAAAGAAGAACUCCACAUUUCCUAGGGUUUUUUUUUUUUUCCCCCUAUUUAUCCCUCCGAUGCUUAUUUAACAUCCCUUCUGGAGGAUCUCUUUGCACACAGCAAACACGCUUCCUUACAAUCCUUCGCAACCCCUAGACACAACUCCUUCUUUGAUAUAGAAUGAGUUAUGGUAGUAAUCAGAGGGCUGUAUUCUCUUAAGGCAAUUAAAACCAAGAUAUCAAUCAAAAGCUACAUAUUUUUCUUUCUUUGAUUUUCUGGAAAAUCUGCUGCUAAAUUCCCCUUAGCUAUCGCCAACCAGGUACACACUGUGUGUCCAUCCUCGGCUCAUGUAAGUCUUGCCUUUAUGAAGUUCAUAUUCUAGCAAAAUUAAAAAGAGAUUUAAGUUAAAUAAUUGGUGCAGCUGAUGCCAACAUUCAGAUAGGCUCUCAGAUGUGGUUUUGAUCCCACUAUGGGUUCAGAAAACUAUAGAAUGCUAAAAACAGUUACUAUGUGACAAAGUGAAAUAGGGCAAAUAAUCCUAUCAAAUGUUGGAAGAAGAAAGGCUUCUGGGAGACAUUGGAGUGAGUUUGAAUCAAUAUUAAUACCUGGGAAAUGACAGCAGCAGAUGAGCUACUCUAGUGUGAAACAAUUAAAGUUGACAGGGCUCGGUUUGAACAAUGUGUUUCACUGGUCAUAAAGCUAAGAGACAGAUCUGCAAACAAUGACAAGCCCUGAAUGCAGUAUCUGCCAUCAUCAUUGACAGAGUGGUCAGAAUGUUUAAUUGGUGACCUCAGAAUCACUAAUUGGGCAUUAAUCUUUCAAUCAACCAUUUUUGAUUAAAGAAAUCACUCUUUAGUAAGUUCUUUUCCUUUUCCCUCCCCCCCUCCUCCCCCCCACCCCCGCCAAGCCAGGUCUGUUUCGACUUUUACAUUAGAAGACAAGCCAAUUUAAGUAGUUGAUCUGGGUUUCCAGAGGACAAAGCCACUGAUUUCACAAUUAGAAAGAUGGCUUAAAAUGUCAAGAUCCCUGGUAAAGUAAUACCUUUCCAUAAAUUGACAGUGAAGGAUGAACAAGUGAGGCUGAGCCCUUUGCCGAGAGCAGAUUUAAUUGGCAGGGGUCAGGGAAUUUCACAAAGAUGGAGUUCCUUAAGGAUGCAAAGAAAAGUACGAUGAAGAGGAGGGAAAAAAUCUACCUAAAGUGGGUCUGGUGAUGUCAAACCCAAUCUUUCCUUCACAAUCUUGCCUGGGGCUUGUUCUGCCAAGACUAAAGAAAUGAUGACAUCUGUAUGGCAUAUUUGUAGUACUGUAGCAUUUUAUUUUACACCUCGGUAAAAAUACAGAAAUUUUGGGAAAGUGAGGGAGGAACUCAACUAUGAGUUAGUUUUCCUAAAAUGCAUAUUGCUCUUAAUUCAGUAUGUGCAAAUAAAUGCUAAUUAACUGAAAUCCAUUCUGAAUUUUAUUACUAAUUCUCAGCUUUUGAGAAAUAAAUGUGGACUCAGACCCAGUGGGUAGAGUUCCAACAGUUUUUAAAUAGCCUAAACUAUUUUUGCUCUUAAUAGUAGAUAGCUGUAAGUUUUAAUAAAACAAGUUUACUUGAGUGAAAAUAUAUUUCAAUUCCCGUGUUAGGAAGAACUGUGUGGAUUUAUAUGCAUAUCUCAAGUUCUCUCAUUAACAAACAUUUCUAAACUUCUCUGUAUUGUGAACUGCCUCAUUGUGAACUGUUUCAAAAAUGUUUUAAAAUGCAUUAAAAUAAAAUGUUCUAGUCUGGGCAAAAUAAAUGCCUUGAAACCGACUCUAGUUUAAAGCAUUAUACAUGUAGCUGGUAAACACGGUUUUUAAUAUAAUCAUAUUUUCCACAUUGAUCUGAAUCAGCUGCAAUGAUUUAAAUAGACUCAACAUUGGAAAACUGGGAAGAAUCCAAUUUAAAGUACUUUGUACUCAGUUCUUUCAUAUCACCUAUGCUAAAAAUGCCAUGGUGUACUGUCAUCAAAUAUGAUUUGCAAUUUUCUAUACCAACAGAUGAGUCAAUUUGAAAUUUUUUCGCUUAUAAUAAAAACAGGAAUUUGAAAGCAACCACUAAUACACAAAUUUGGUUUUCAGGCUUUUUUGUCUUUUGGCAAUCCAGGCCUUUGUGUCAUUUGUUUUCUCAAUUUCUGUAAAGCAGUUCAAAAAAAGUUUUACUGAGAGUUUGUUUGUUGCUAAGUUUCAUGUUAUGGCACAUUGUUAUAGUUCAUUAUUUUGACUACUGUAGUAUAUGCCAAUGUGUGAAUAACACAUGGUUUAUUCAUCCAGUCUUCCACAGUGGGUGUUUGGAUUAUUUCCAGUUUUUUGCUGUUAUGAUAAUCUCACACAGGUCUCUGGUAGUUCAUGUGAAAGUGUCUCUCUUGGGUUCAUACCUAGGAGUAAAAACCUGAAACACAGGGCAUAUGAAUGUUCAAAUAUAGAAGGACAUAGGCAAUGUCAUCUUUCUUCUUCAGUGAUUUCACCAUCAUUCCCUACGUUCCUAGACUUAUCAAAUCACCAUUUAAUUAAACCUACCAUUUUAUUUUUUUUCCCUUUCGAUGAAUUGAUUGUUUGGGAAUACUGAAACACUGUAACAUCUUUAAGAAAGCAAUUUUACUAAUGAAAUAUUUUUGUUUUUUCAUGUGCUUUAAACUUUUUCUUUGUUUUUAGAGUUUCCUGAUUUAGUUCAUUGCAGGGACUUGUCUUUGGUAUUCUAACUUUAGAAGUAAUGUUUGUUCUCCCUGGCCUAUCAAAGAGUCAAACCAGGUGCUUCAUAUGAGAAGAAGUUUCACUUUAUAUUUUCCAACUAAAAUGCAUGUUAAUAAUGCAUUUGAGGCAU
This 3919-nucleotide long non-coding RNA is filed under the name Sus scrofa (pig). RNAcentral's name for it is "lncRNA (ENSSSCG00000055804.1)". Lineage: Eukaryota; Metazoa; Chordata; Mammalia; Artiodactyla; Suidae. The record is from RNAcentral.